Small nuclear RNA from Ailuropoda melanoleuca (giant panda), 106 nucleotides. The record is from Ensembl. NCBI's taxonomy places the organism in Eukaryota, Metazoa, Chordata, Mammalia, Carnivora, Ursidae.
GUGCUCCUUCAGUAGCACAAUUACUAAUACUGGAACGAUAUAGAGAAGAUUAGCAUGGCCCCUGUGCAAGGAUGACACACAAAUUCAUGAAGCGUUCCAUAUUUUA